GUGCAGGGCUUGCUUUGUCUGCAUGCAUGCUGAAACUGGGAUAGAAGAUUAGCAUGGCCCCUAUGGAAGGAUGACAUGCAAAUUCAUGACAUCCCAUACUUUU
RNAcentral lists this small nuclear RNA (103 nucleotides) under Nannospalax galili (Upper Galilee mountains blind mole rat). Lineage: Eukaryota; Metazoa; Chordata; Mammalia; Rodentia; Spalacidae. The record is from RNAcentral.